This 502-nucleotide ribosomal RNA is filed under the name uncultured bacterium. RNAcentral describes it as "partial 16S ribosomal RNA". It matches the Rfam family "Bacterial small subunit ribosomal RNA", at positions 28 to 507 of the family's 1533-position model. The record is from RNAcentral.
GACGAACGCUGGCGGCGUGCCUAAUACAUGCAAGUCGAACGAACCGCGACUAAGUGCUUGCACUAAGUCAAGGUGAGUGGCGAACGGGUGAGUAACACGUGGGUAACCUACCUCAUAGUGGGGGAUAACAGUCGGAAACGACUGCUAAUACCGCAUAGGACAUAGGAUCACAUGAUCCAGUGAGGAAAGGUGGCGCAAGCUAUCGCUAAGAGAUGGACCCGCGGUGCAUUAGCUAGUUGGUAGGGUAAAGGCCUACCAAGGCGAUGAUGCAUAGCCGACCUGAGAGGGUGAUCGGCCACAUUGGGACUGAGACACGGCCCAAACUCCUACGGGAGGCAGCAGUAGGGAAUAUUCCGCAAUGGACGAAAGUCUGACGGAGCAACGCCGCGUGAGUGAAGAAGGUCUUCGGAUCGUAAAGCUCUGUUGUUAGAGAAGAACAGCGCAUAGAGUAACUGCUAUGCGUGUGACGGUAUCUAACCAGAAAGCCACGGCUAACUACGUG